RNAcentral lists this transfer RNA (56 nucleotides) under Varanus salvadorii. RNAcentral's name for it is "tRNA-Cys". The record is from RNAcentral. Lineage: Eukaryota; Metazoa; Chordata; Lepidosauria; Squamata; Varanidae.
AGUCCAGACUUCAUCGGGCUGCAAACCUGACUUUGGGUUAGAUUACCCCUGGACUU